RNAcentral lists this long non-coding RNA (472 nucleotides) under Lupinus angustifolius (narrow-leaved blue lupine). RNAcentral describes it as "long non-coding RNA (LANG_LNC003056)". Lineage: Eukaryota; Viridiplantae; Streptophyta; Magnoliopsida; Fabales; Fabaceae. The record is from RNAcentral.
UUUUGUACAAUUUUAUUAGAAUCAAUCACUACUCACUAGUACAGUCUUUUAGUCUGCAAAAGCAUCUUUGUUGAUUGCCACGAAAGCCUUUUAGUUGGCAACGCCCGCCAAGGUAGCCUCUACCUUCACACUCUGUAUUACAUGGUCCAUUAGCAAGACAGUCUGCAUUGGAGAGAUUAACGUAACACGUCUUUCUUUUUUGUGCUACCGUUAUUGAACCCAUUUCUGUCAUAAAACAAUAUAACACAAUUCAAAAGUAAAACAGAAGUACAAUCACAUAAUGAAAAGGAAAUCUAGUUAUGAUAUGUAUAGGUUAGAUAAAUAUAAAUAGAAGAGAGUUAUGAUAUUUUUAAGCAUCACCUACCAGUCACAACUAGAAGCAGAAGGAGGACAAAAAAGGUGAAAACGAAAGAAGCAGCACGAGUCAUCCUUGAGUUGAAAAUGAAAAUGAUUGAGAAUGAGACUUGAUAAG